Molecule: ribosomal RNA, 254 nt
Filed under: uncultured bacterium
Lineage: Bacteria
Description: partial 16S ribosomal RNA
Rfam family: Bacterial small subunit ribosomal RNA
Source: RNAcentral
CACGUAGGGACCAAGCGUUGUCCGGAUUCAUUGGGCGUAAAGAGCUCGUAGGCGGUUCGAUAAGUCGGGUGUGAAACCUCCAGGCUCAACCUGGAGACGCCACCCGAUACUGUCGUGACUAGAGUCCAGUAGGGGAGCGUGGAAUUCCUGGUGUAGCGGUGAAAUGCGCAGAUAUCAGGAGGAACACCAGCGGCGAAGGCGGCGCUCUGGACUGGAACUGACGCUGAGGAGCGAAAGCGUGGGGAGCGAACAGG